Molecule: ribosomal RNA, 253 nt
Filed under: uncultured bacterium
Lineage: Bacteria
Description: partial 16S ribosomal RNA
Rfam family: Bacterial small subunit ribosomal RNA
Source: RNAcentral
UACGUAGGGGGCAAGCGUUGUCCGAAGUUACUGGGCGUAAAGCGCGCGUAGGCGGGUUGGUAAGUCCGCUGUGAAAGCCCGGAGCUCAACUCCGGAGGGUCGGUGGAUACUGCCAGUCUUGAAGGUGCUAGGGGGAGAUGGAAUUACCGGUGUAGCGGUGAAAUGCGUAGAUAUCGGGAGGAACACCUGUGGCGAAAGCGGCUCACUGGACCACAACUGACGCUGAGGCGCGAAAGCUAGGGGAGCAAACAGG